This 353-nucleotide unclassified non-coding RNA is filed under the name soil metagenome. RNAcentral's name for it is "partial contains 5.8S ribosomal RNA, internal transcribed spacer 2, and large subunit ribosomal RNA". The stretch from base 1 to 120 matches the Rfam family "5.8S ribosomal RNA", at positions 35 to 154 of the family's 154-position model. The record is from RNAcentral.
GAUGAAGAACGCAGCGAAAUGCGAUAAGUAAUGUGAAUUGCAGAAUUCAGUGAAUCAUCGAAUCUUUGAACGCACAUUGCGCCCGCCAGUAUUCUGGCGGGCAUGCCUGUCCGAGCGUCAUUUCAACCCUCGAACCCCUCCGGGGGGUCGGCGUUGGGGAUCGGCCCUUUCACCGGGUGCCGUCCCCCAAAUACAGUGGCGGUCUCGCCGCAGCCUCUCAUGCGCAGUAGUUUGCACACUCGCACCGGGAGCGCGGCGCGUCCACGUCCGUAAAACACCCCAAACUUCUGAAAUGUUGACCUCGGAUCAGGUAGGAAUACCCGCUGAACUUAAGCAUAUCAAUAAGCGGAGGA